Molecule: ribosomal RNA, 253 nt
Filed under: uncultured bacterium
Lineage: Bacteria
Description: partial 16S ribosomal RNA
Rfam family: Bacterial small subunit ribosomal RNA
Source: RNAcentral
UACGUAGGGGGCAAGCGUUGUCCGGAUUUAUUGGGCGUAAAGAGCGUGUAGGCGGCUUGGAAGGUCAGCUGUGAAAACUCGAGGCUCAACCUCGAGACGUCGGUUGAAACCACCUGGCUAGAGUCCGGAAGAGGAGAGUGGAAUUCCCGGUGUAGCGGUGAAAUGCGCAGAUAUCGGGAAGAACACCCGUGGCGAAGGCGGCGACCUGGGCCAAUACUGACGCUGAGGUGCGAAAGCGUGGGGAGCAAACAGG